GACGAACGCUGGCGGCGUGCUUAACACAUGCAAGUCGAACGGAAAGGCCCUGCUUGCAGGGUACUCGAGUGGCGAACGGGUGAGUAACACGUGGGUUAUCUGCCCUGCACUUCGGGAUAAGCCUGGGAAACUGGGUCUAAUACCGGAUAGGAGCCAUUUUGAGUGUGGUGGUUGGAAAGUUUUUUCGGUUUGGUCUUAGCUCGGGGCCUAUCUGAGUGUUGGUGGGGUAAUGGCCUACAAAGGCGGCGGCGGGUAGCCGGCGCUGGUGUGUGGACAGGCACAUUGACACUGGGACUCGGCCCAGACUCCGACUCGUGCGAGAGGUGGCGAUGAUUGCUCAAUGGCCGUAAGCCUGAUGCUGCUCCGCCGCUGGCGCGAGGACGGCCUUCGGGUUGUAAAUGUCUUUCUCUAUUGACGAAGCUUUUUGUGACGGUACCUAGAUAAGAAGCUCCGGCUAACUCCGUG
This 465-nucleotide ribosomal RNA is filed under the name uncultured bacterium. Its description in RNAcentral is "partial 16S ribosomal RNA". It matches the Rfam family "Bacterial small subunit ribosomal RNA", at positions 28 to 507 of the family's 1533-position model. The record is from RNAcentral.